AGCAGCCGCGGUAAUUCCAGCUCCAAUAGCGUAUAUUAAAGUUGUUGCAGUUAAAAAGCUCGUAGUUGAAUUUCGAGACCGGCUUACUGGUCGUGCUAUUGUACGUACUGGUAUAAUCGGUUUCUCCUUUCUGACGAACUUUAAUGCCAUUAAUUUGGUGUUUUAGGGAAUCAGGACUGUUACUUUGAAAAAAUUAGAGUGUUUAAAGCAGGCUCACGCUUGAAUACAUUAGCAUGGAAUAACGGAAUAGGACGUUUGAUUCUAUUUUGUUGGUUUCUAGGAUCGACGUAAUGAUUAAUAGGGAUAGUUGGGGGCAUUAGUAUUCAAUUGUCAGAGGUGAAAUUCUUGGAUUUAUUGAAGACUAACUACUGCGAAAGCAUUUGCCAAGGAUGUUUUCAUUAAUCAAGAACGAAAGUUAGGGGAUCGAAGACGAUCAGAUACCGUCGUAGUCUUAACCAUAAACUAUGCCGACUAGGGAUCGGAUGAUGUUAAUUUUUUAAUGACCCAUUCGGCGCCUUACG
Molecule: ribosomal RNA, 521 nt
Filed under: uncultured Glomus
Lineage: Eukaryota; Fungi; Glomeromycota; Glomeromycetes; Glomerales; Glomeraceae
Description: SSU rRNA
Rfam family: Eukaryotic small subunit ribosomal RNA
Source: RNAcentral